GACGAACGCUGGCGGCGUGCUUAACACAUGCAAGUCGAACGGUGACCCAGGGCUUGCCCUGGUGAUCAGUGGCGAACGGGUGAGUAACACGUGGGCAACCUGCCCCUGACUUCGGGAUAACUCCUCGAAAGAGGAGCUAAUACCGGAUACGACCACUUCGGACAUCCGAUGGUGGUGGAAAGUUUUUCGGUCAGGGAUGGGCCCGCGGCCUAUCAGCUAGUUGGUGGGGUAAUGGCCUACCAAGGCGACGACGGGUAGCCGGCCUGAGAGGGCGACCGGCCACACUGGGACUGAGACACGGCCCAGACUCCUACGGGAGGCAGCAGUGGGGAAUAUUGCGCAAUGGGCGAAAGCCUGACGCAGCGACGCCGCGUGAGGGAUGAAGGCCUCGGUUGUAACCUCCUUCAGCAGGACGAAGCGAAAGUGACGGUACCGUGCAGAAGAAGCACCGGCUAACUACGUGCCAGCAGCCGCGGUAAU
RNAcentral lists this ribosomal RNA (480 nucleotides) under uncultured bacterium. RNAcentral's name for it is "bacterial SSU rRNA". It matches the Rfam family "Bacterial small subunit ribosomal RNA", at positions 28 to 524 of the family's 1533-position model. The record is from RNAcentral.